UAGGGAAUCUUCCACAAUGGGCGAAAGCCUGAUGGAGCAACGCCGCGUGUGUGAUGAAGGGUUUCGGCUCGUAAAACACUGUUGUAAGAGAAGAAUGACAUUGAGAGUAACUGUUCAAUGUGUGACGGUAUCUUACCAGAGAGGAACGGCUAAAUACGCGCCAG
Molecule: ribosomal RNA, 164 nt
Filed under: uncultured bacterium
Lineage: Bacteria
Description: partial 16S rRNA
Rfam family: Bacterial small subunit ribosomal RNA
Source: RNAcentral